CAGUCGCCACGGUAAUACGAAGGGGGCUAGCGUUGUUCGGAUUUACUGGGCGUAAAGGGCGCGUAGGCGGGCGAAUAAGUCAGGGGUGAAAUCCCAAGGCUCAACCUUGGAACUGCCUUUGAUACUGUUUGUCUUGAGUCCGGGAGAGGUGAGUGGAACUGCGAGUGUAGAGGUGAAAUUCGUAGAUAUUCGCAAGAACACCAGUGGCGAAGGCGGCUCACUGGCCCGGAACUGACGCUGAGGCGCGAAAGCGUGGGGAGCAAACAGGAUUAGAUACCCCGGUAGUCCCUGUCUCUUAUAC
This 301-nucleotide ribosomal RNA is filed under the name uncultured bacterium. RNAcentral's name for it is "partial 16S ribosomal RNA". It matches the Rfam family "Bacterial small subunit ribosomal RNA", at positions 509 to 807 of the family's 1533-position model. The record is from RNAcentral.